This is a long non-coding RNA of Tribolium castaneum (red flour beetle), 1617 nucleotides long. RefSeq lists it as uncharacterized. Lineage: Eukaryota; Metazoa; Arthropoda; Insecta; Coleoptera; Tenebrionidae. The transcript is spliced from 2 exons. The record is from RefSeq and is a predicted model, not a curated record.
GUUUAUAAGUCGUAACAAAUAUUUAUUUUGUACUAGUAUAUAAUUUUGUAAUGACGUGUUUUUACUUCAUUGUUUUCCUCGUCUUGUCUCCUUUGUCUAAACAGAGAACAUGGAAAUGCCUAUUUUCUUCCUAAAUCUUCUCUAUACAACAUAGUACAUAUAACAAUGCAUCGAGAAAUUUUUGUUAAAUUUUUUCACCGGUACAAUAAAAAAUCACCAAUAGAAUAAAAAAAUCACCAAAUGGCUACUUUAUUCUAUCGAAUUUUUGAAUAUGGCCAAUUUUUCAGUGGCUCAGAUUAUUUAUGUAGGUACAUGGAGAGUAAAGUUACAAUAGUUAUUAAAGAAAUAAGUCCUUUGUAAUGGAAAAGCUGCUAUGACACUUAAAAAAUUUGUAAAUGUUGACGCAGAUGUUUAAAAAAACAGGAUUUGGCUUUGACAGACACAAAUGAAUAACAAACAAAAUAACAAAAUGUUACUUUCCAAAAUAAUUAUUUUAAGUAGGCAAAAAAAACAUUAUGCUCAAAAAAACGUACUCUAUGGGUUAAACGUUAGUGGUACUGGGCAUACACUGACUGGAAAAACAUAAUAUUAAGUGAUAAAUCUUAAUUUGAUGUAUACGUUGGAGGUUCUGAAACUCUCGAAAACGAGUAAUAAGAACCAACCAAGAGAUCGUUCACAAAGACUGUCUCAAAAGUACGGUUUUUGCUAAGAAACAAAUGGUAUGGGGAUACUUGAUUGCAAAGAGUGUGGGUUUGAGUUCAUACAUGGGACAGUAAACACCAUCAAAUAUACAUUUUGCAUAAAUAUUAUUACUACCGACUAAAAAAUUAUGUCCCGAAGGUGCCAUUCUGUCCAUUGUCACACAGCAAAACUUUUAAAAUAAUGAUUCGGUAAUUCUGACAUUAACAUUAUGUCUUGACCAGCAAAUAAACCCGAUUUAAAUAUCAGUGUGACAUUUUGACAAAGAAUGAAAAGUUAUCUUAGAAAUCUUCCUCAGUGGUCAUUGAAACUUUAUAAAAUAAUAGAACAUAGUUGAAACAAUAGAACGUGCCAGCUUUGUUAAAAGUAUGCCAACGGGAAUUCGAGCCGUCAUUAAAGCCAAAGAAGAUGUCACAAAUUAUUAAAAAGUUUUUUUUUGUCAAAACAAUUAGGUACUUGUUAGAUAUUAUUCCUGUUUUUUUUAAUAUUAUAUUAAAUAUCAAGUGCUUUAAACUAGUUUUUAAAUAGGUCAUAAGUCACAAAAUAAACGUACUUCUUCAAUUUUUACUUUUUUUUAAACAUUCAUUAGCUUGACGUGCCUUUUCCUUGCAAAAAUGUGUUCGUCCAAACAUUUAAUUGUUAUUAUAAUAGCUGUCUUUCCUCUAGGGUUGCCAGGUUUUAAACAUUCAAAUGUAUGGCUGCUGCUAAAAAAUAUAUGAGUAGUUAAAAAAGUAUGUGAAGUCCAAAAACAUGUAUGUAACUGGUUGUGUCUUUUUAAAACUGAUUUUUAUUGCUUUUAGCCCCUAUCAGUACUUGAUUGUUUGUACUUAUUUGUACGUAUGUGCAGAAUUCUUUGCUUUAAAAAAUUUAAACGAAAUAAUAACUUCAUUUUUAUUAAAUAAAGCACUUGCUUUAUUU